Molecule: ribosomal RNA, 459 nt
Filed under: uncultured bacterium
Lineage: Bacteria
Description: partial 16S ribosomal RNA
Rfam family: Bacterial small subunit ribosomal RNA
Source: RNAcentral
CCUACGGGCGGCAGCAGUGAGGAAUAUUGGUCAAUGGCCGGAAGGCUGAACCAGCCAAGUCGCGUGAGGGACGACUGUCCUAUGGGUUGUAAACCUCUUUUAUCAGGGAACAAUAAAUUCCAUGUGUAGCAUGAUUCCUGUACCCUAUGAAAAAGCAUUGGCUAACCUCGUUCCCGCAGCCGGCGUAAUUCCGAGGAUGCGAGCGUUAUCCGGAUUUAUUGGGGUUAAAGGGUGCGUAGGCGGGUUUUUAAGUUAGUGGUUAAACGUCGGGGCUUCACCUUGAUUUGCCAUUAAUACUGUAAGACUCGAGUUCAGACGAGGUAGGCGGAAUAAGUUAAGUAGCGGUGAAAUGCUUAGAUAUAACGUAGAACUCCGAUAGCGAAGGCAGCUUACCAGACUGCGACUGACGCUGAAGCACGAGAGCGUGGGUAGCGAACAGGAUUAGAUACCCUUGUAGUC